This is a long non-coding RNA of Mesocricetus auratus (golden hamster), 302 nucleotides long. RefSeq lists it as uncharacterized. NCBI's taxonomy places the organism in Eukaryota, Metazoa, Chordata, Mammalia, Rodentia, Cricetidae. The transcript has 3 exons. The record is from RefSeq and is a predicted model, not a curated record.
UGAAGAUGCUUCUAACAUUGACACAAGUCUUGGUCAGAAUGUAUGUUUCUCCACCUUCUAGGAACCAUUGCUUGGAGAAUGUCCUACAUUUCCAGAAAACAUUCCAACUGUGUGGCAGAGAAGUGUGUUUGCACCAAGCAUGGCAUAUCAUCUUUCAUGCAAAGGAGUCCUGUGUCACCUACACCACCACCAAUAACAGCAUUAUACCUUCCAUCACUGAAAGCAAUCCCCAUGCUAGGCCACCAGUUUGUUUAUAUGGUGGAUUACAUUGAUGGAUUUUCAUAUGUUGAACCAUCCCUGGG